ACGGCAGAUAGGCCGGGGAGCUAAGGGUUCUCCGUUCGCAAAUCCCUUCAAAGGCGGGCUUACAUGUCGGUCAGGUAUAUAAGGGAAUUAAAAAAGAGUGCAAAGAAGUGUUGAGGCUCUGCCCUAAACGAUAACCUGGUAUGUGAAUCAGGCCAGGCCGGAAGGAGCAACCUUAAGCAUAUUGCGGAUUAAACUGCGUGCAAUUAGGUUAUGCUUUUAGGAUACAGGACUGAGUGGAUUUGCAUAACACCUUUUAAUUACUUUACAUGCUUGAUCGGCUUCUGCCGU
This 288-nucleotide non-coding RNA is filed under the name Candidatus Mancarchaeum acidiphilum. Lineage: Archaea; Nanobdellati; Microcaldota. The record is from RNAcentral.